RNAcentral lists this ribosomal RNA (502 nucleotides) under uncultured bacterium. Its description in RNAcentral is "partial 16S ribosomal RNA". It matches the Rfam family "Bacterial small subunit ribosomal RNA", at positions 28 to 523 of the family's 1533-position model. The record is from RNAcentral.
GAUGAACGCUAGCGGCAGGCCUAACACAUGCAAGUCGAGGGGCAGCACAGAAACAGCAAUGUUUUGGUGGCGACCGGCGGACGGGUGCGUAACGCGUAUGCAACCUACCUUUAACAGGGGGAUAACGGAGAGAAAUUUCCACUAAUACCCCAUAACAUCGAUCAAGGCAUCUUGAUUGGUUGAAAACUCCGGUGGUUAAAGAUGGGCAUGCGUUGUAUUAGGUAGUUGGUGAGGUAAUGGCUCACCAAGCCUACGAUACAUAGGGGGACUGAGAGGUUAGCGCCCCACACUGGUACUGAGACACGGACCAGACUCCUACGGGAGGCAGCAGUGAGGAAUAUUGGUCAAUGGGGGCAACCCUGAACCAGCCAUGCCGCGUGCAGGAAGACAGCUCUAUGAGUUGUAAACUGCUUUUAAACAGGGAUAAAGCACAGUAUGUAUACUGUGUUGAAGGUACUGUAAGAAUAAGGAUCGGCUAACUCCGUGCCAGCAGCCGCAGUAA